Molecule: ribosomal RNA, 351 nt
Filed under: uncultured bacterium
Lineage: Bacteria
Description: bacterial SSU rRNA
Rfam family: Bacterial small subunit ribosomal RNA
Source: RNAcentral
AGAGUUUGAUCAUGGCUCAGGAUGAACGCUAGCUACAGGCUUAACACAUGCAAGUCGAGGGGAAACGACAUCGAAAGCUUGCUUUUGAUGGGCGUCGACCGGCGCACGGGUGAGUAACGCGUAUCCAACCUGCCCACCACUUGGGGAUAACCUUGCGAAAGUAAGACUAAUACCCAAUGAUAUCUCUAGAAGACAUCUGAAAGAGAUUAAAGAUUUAUCGGUGAUGGAUGGGGAUGCGUCUGAUUAGCUUGUUGGCGGGGUAACGGCCACCAAGGCGACGAUCAGUAGGGGUUCUGAGAGGAAGGUCCCCCANAUUGGAACUGAGACACGGUCCAAACUCAUACGGGAGCA